CUGCUGCCUCCCGUAGGAGUCUGGGCCGUGUCUCAGUCCCAAUGUGGCCGGUCAACCUCUCAGUCCGGCUACUGAUCGUCGCCUUGGUGGGCCGUUACCCCGCCAACCAGCUAAUCAGACGCGAGUCCAUCUCAGAGCGAUAAAUCUUUGGCAGCCAGAGCCAUGCGGCCCAACUGCAUUAUGCGGUAUUAGCACAUCUUUCGAUGUGUUAUUCCCCACUCCAAGGCAGGUUACU
RNAcentral lists this ribosomal RNA (235 nucleotides) under uncultured bacterium. Its description in RNAcentral is "partial 16S ribosomal RNA". The record is from RNAcentral.